This 84-nucleotide transfer RNA is filed under the name Acidimicrobiia bacterium. RNAcentral's name for it is "tRNA-Leu". It matches the Rfam family "tRNA". Rfam says of the family: Transfer RNA (tRNA) molecules are approximately 80 nucleotides in length. The record is from RNAcentral. Lineage: Bacteria; Bacillati; Actinomycetota; Acidimicrobiia.
GUCGGAGUGGCGGAAUAGGUAGACGCGCCAGGUUGAGGGCCUGGUGUCCGCAAGGACGUGGGGGUUCAAGUCCCCCCUCCGACA